AUGAGAAGCAUCAAGCGUCUCUCCUUGCUCCAGCAUCUCCUCUUCUUCUUCCUCUUCCUCUUCCUCAUCCUCGAUCUUUCAGAGCUUGCUACCGGGCAACAAGACCAAUUCGUCUACUCCGGUUUCGCAGGCGCCAACCUCGCCCUCGACGGCACCGCCACCAUCACACCAGACGGCCUGCUUGAGCUGACCAACGGCACCUUCCGGCUCAGAGGCCAUGCUUUCCACCCGACUCCAUUCUACUUCAGCAGGGCGCCCAACGGGACAGCGGUUCAGGCGCCUCAGUCCUUUGCUGUCUCGUACGUGUUUGCCAUCUACUGCAUCCAGGCCCAGACCUGCGGGCACGGCAUGGCCUCGGUCGUCGCCGCGAGCAGCAACUUCUCCGACACCAUGCCCACCCAGUACCUGGGGCUCAUCAACGACCACAACAACGGCGACCCAGCCAACCGCUUCUUCGCCGUCGAGCUCGACACCAACUGGAACGACGAGUUCAAGGACAUUGACAACAACCAUGUCGGGAUCGACAUCAACAACCUCGUCUCAGUGAAAUCCAGCAGCGCCGGCUACUACGACGACCGCGACGAGGGUAACUUCCAAAACCUGACACUCGCGAGCUACAAAAUGAUGCAGGUGUGGGUGGAGUAUGAUGGAGGUCGCAGGCAGAUCAGUGUGAGCUUGGCUCCAGUAGACAUGGCCAAACCCACCAAACCACUGCUCUCCACCACCUACAACCUCUCAACGGUGCUCCCAGACAUGGUUUACGUUGGCUUCUCUGCCUCGACGGGCUCAUUCGACUCGCGGCAGUAUGUGCUUGGUUGGAGCUUCGGCAUCAACAGGCCUUCUCCAGCAAUCGACAUCACCAAGCUGCCCAAGCUGCCUCGUCAAGGUCCGAAGCCUAGAUCCAAGGUAUUGGAAAUCGUACUACCAAUAGUUUCUGCGACAUUUGUUCUUGCUGUGGGCACUGUUGUCAUUCUUCUUGUGCGAAGGCGGCUAAGGUAUGCCGAGCUUAGAGAAGACUGGGAGACUGAAUUUGGGCCCCAUAGGUUUUCAUACAAGGACUUGUUUCACGCCACCAAGGGAUUUAAGAACAAGAAUCUACUGGGGAUUGGAGGAUUUGGAAAGGUGUACAAGGGAGUGCUUCCAAAGUCGAAAGUGGAGAUUGCUGUGAAAAGGAUCUCCCACGACUCUAAGCAGGGAAUGAAGGAAUUUGUGGCAGAGGUUGCGAGCAUCGGCCGCCUCCAGCACCGCAAUAUUGUGCAGUUGCAUGGCUACUGCCGGCGCAAGGCUGAGCUUCUUCUGGUGUAUGACUACCUGUCGAAUGGAAGUCUCGACAAGUACCUGUAUGAUCAGGAGAAGAAGCCCACUUUAACUUGGGCCCAGAGAUACAAAAUCAUCAAAGACAUUGCGUCUGCCUUGCUUUACCUUCACCAGGAAUGGGAGAAAGUUGUAUUGCAUCGAGACAUCAAGCCAAGCAAUGUGCUCCUCGAUGAUGGACUGAAUGGGCGGCUGGGUGACUUCGGCUUAGCAAGGUUAUAUGACCACGAGACUGGCCCUCAAACCACACAUGUUGUUGGCACCAUUGGAUACCUAGCUCCUGAGCUAGCACACACCAACAAAGCAACCCCACUUAGUGAUGUAUUUUCCUUUGGCAUGUUUGUUCUUGAGGUCACUUGUGGGCGGAAGCCCAUCGAGCCAACAUCACAAGGCAACCAACUCACCUUGGUCAGAUGGGUGAUUGACCAUUGGCACCAAGGAUUUCUCACAGAUGCAGUGGAUACCAAGCUCCGGGGUGCCUACAAUGUUGAUGAGGCAUGCCUAGCUCUGAAGUUAGGAUUGCUGUGCUCACACCCAUUAAUCAAUCUAAGGCCCAACAUGAGGCAGGUUAUGCAGUAUCUCAAUGGUGAUAUGCCACCCCCAGAUCUAAAUCUGACACACAUGAGCUUCAACAUUCCAUCCUUGAUGCAGAACGAAGUUUCCGUAGACGACUUGCGUGCAGCCUUGAUGGUGUAA
RNAcentral lists this ribosomal RNA (2010 nucleotides) under Triticum aestivum (bread wheat). RNAcentral's name for it is "partial small subunit ribosomal RNA". The record is from RNAcentral. Lineage: Eukaryota; Viridiplantae; Streptophyta; Magnoliopsida; Poales; Poaceae.